GGCGUGCUUAACACAUGCAAGUCGAACGGAAAGGCCCUGCUUUUGUGGGGUGCUCGAGUGGCGAACGGGUGAGUAACACGUGAGUAACCUGCCCUUGACUUUGGGAUAACUUCAGGAAACUGGGGCUAAUACCGGAUAGGAGCUCCUGCUGCAUGGUGGGGGUUGGAAAGUUUCGGCGGUUGGGGAUGGACUCGCGGCUUAUCAGCUUGUUGGUGGGGUAGUGGCUUACCAAGGCUUUGACGGGUAGCCGGCCUGAGAGGGUGACCGGCCACAUUGGGACUGAGAUACGGCCCAGACUCCUACGGGAGGCAGCAGUGGGGAAUAUUGCACAAUGGGCGGAAGCCUGAUGCAGCAACGCCGCGUGCGGGAUGACGGCCUUCGGGUUGUAAACCGCUUUCGCCUGUGACGAAGCGUGAGUGACGGUAAUGGGUAAAGAAGCACCGGCUAACUACGUGCCAGCAGCCGCGGUGAUACGUAGGGUGCGAGCGUUGUCCGGAUUUAUUGGGCGUAAAGGGCUCGUAGGUGGUUGAUCGCGUCGGAAGUGUAAUCUUGGGGCUUAACCCUGAGCGUGCUUUCGAUACGGGUUGACUUGAGGAAGGUAGGGGAGAAUGGAAUUCCUGGUGGAGCGGUGGAAUGCGCAGAUAUCAGGAGGAACACCAGUGGCGAAGGCGAUUCUCUGGGCCUUUCCUGACGCUGAGGAGCGAAAGCGUGGGGAGCGAACAGGCUUAGAUACCCUGGUAGUCCACGCUGUAAACGGUGGGUACUAGGUGUGGGGUCCAUUCCACGGGGUUCCGUGCCGUAGCUAACGCUUUAAGUACCCCGCCUGGGGAGUACGGCCGCAAGGCUAAAACUCAAAGGAAUUGACGGGGCCCCGCACAAGCGGCGGAGCAUGCGGAUUAAUUCGAUGCAACGCGUAGAACCUUACCUGGGUUUGACAUGGAUCGGGAGUGCUCAGAGAUGGGUGUGCCUCUUUUGGGGUCGGUUCACAGGUGGUGCAUGGCUGUCGUCAGCUCGUGUCGUGAGAUGUUGGGUUAAGUCCCGCAACGAGCGCAACCCUUGUUCACUGUUGCCAGCACGUUAUGGUGGGGACUCAGUGGAGACCGCCGGGGUCAACUCGGAGGAAGGUGGGGAUGACGUCAAGUCAUCAUGCCCCUUAUGUCCAGGGCUUCACGCAUGCUACAAUGGCUGGUACAGAGAGUGGCGAGCCUGUGAGGGUGAGCGAAUCUCGGAAAGCCGGUCUCAGUUCGGAUUGGGGUCUGCAACUCGACCUCAUGAAGUCGGAGUCGCUAGUAAUCGCAGAUCAGCAACGCUGCGGUGAAUACGUUCCCGGGGCUUGUACACACCGCCCGUCAAGUCAUGAAAGUUGGUAACACCCGAAGCCGGUGGCCUAACCGUUGUGGGGGAGCCGUCGAAGGUGGGACUGGUGAUUAGGACUAAGA
Molecule: ribosomal RNA, 1439 nt
Filed under: uncultured organism
Description: partial small subunit ribosomal RNA
Rfam family: Bacterial small subunit ribosomal RNA
Source: RNAcentral